Molecule: small nuclear RNA, 96 nt
Filed under: Chinchilla lanigera (long-tailed chinchilla)
Lineage: Eukaryota; Metazoa; Chordata; Mammalia; Rodentia; Chinchillidae
Source: RNAcentral
GUGCUUGCUUCAGCAGCACAUAACUAAAAUUGGAACAAUAUAGAGAAGAUUAGCAUGGCCCCUGCACAAGGAUGACACACAAACUCAUAUUUUUUU